This 2135-nucleotide ribosomal RNA is filed under the name Escherichia coli. RNAcentral's name for it is "partial 23S ribosomal RNA". It matches the Rfam family "Bacterial large subunit ribosomal RNA", at positions 55 to 2215 of the family's 2925-position model. The record is from RNAcentral. Lineage: Bacteria; Pseudomonadati; Pseudomonadota; Gammaproteobacteria; Enterobacterales; Enterobacteriaceae. RNAcentral also lists the same sequence under 1 other name.
GACGUGCUAAUCUGCGAUAAGCGUCGGUAAGGUGAUAUGAACCGUUAUAACCGGCGAUUUCCGAAUGGGGAAACCCAGUGUGAUUCGUCACACUAUCAUUAACUGAAUCCAUAGGUUAAUGAGGCGAACCGGGGGAACUGAAACAUCUAAGUACCCCGAGGAAAAGAAAUCAACCGAGAUUCCCCCAGUAGCGGCGAGCGAACGGGGAGCAGCCCAGAGCCUGAAUCAGUGUGUGUGUUAGUGGAAGCGUCUGGAAAGGCGUGCGAUACAGGGUGACAGCCCCGUACACAAAAAUGCACAUACUGUGAGCUCGAUGAGUAGGGCGGGACACGUGGUAUCCUGUCUGAAUAUGGGGGGACCAUCCUCCAAGGCUAAAUACUCCUGACUGACCGAUAGUGAACCAGUACCGUGAGGGAAAGGCGAAAAGAACCCCGGCGAGGGGAGUGAAAAAGAACCUGAAACCGUGUACGUACAAGCAGUGGGAGCACGCUUAGGCGUGUGACUGCGUACCUUUUGUAUAAUGGGUCAGCGACUUAUAUUCUGUAGCAAGGUUAACCGAAUAGGGGAGCCGAAGGGAAACCGAGUCUUAACUGGGCGUUAAGUUGCAGGGUAUAGACCCGAAACCCGGUGAUCUAGCCAUGGGCAGGUUGAAGGUUGGGUAACACUAACUGGAGGACCGAACCGACUAAUGUUGAAAAAUUAGCGGAUGACUUGUGGCUGGGGGUGAAAGGCCAAUCAAACCGGGAGAUAGCUGGUUCUCCCCGAAAGCUAUUUAGGUAGCGCCUCGUGAAUUCAUCUCCGGGGGUAGAGCACUGUUUCGGCAAGGGGGUCAUCCCGACUUACCAACCCGAUGCAAACUGCGAAUACCGGAGAAUGUUAUCACGGGAGACACACGGCGGGUGCUAACGUCCGUCGUGAAGAGGGAAACAACCCAGACCGCCAGCUAAGGUCCCAAAGUCAUGGUUAAGUGGGAAACGAUGUGGGAAGGCCCAGACAGCCAGGAUGUUGGCUUAGAAGCAGCCAUCAUUUAAAGAAAGCGUAAUAGCUCACUGGUCGAGUCGGCCUGCGCGGAAGAUGUAACGGGGCUAAACCAUGCACCGAAGCUGCGGCAGCGACGCUUAUGCGUUGUUGGGUAGGGGAGCGUUCUGUAAGCCUGUGAAGGUGUACUGUGAGGUAUGCUGGAGGUAUCAGAAGUGCGAAUGCUGACAUAAGUAACGAUAAAGCGGGUGAAAAGCCCGCUCGCCGGAAGACCAAGGGUUCCUGUCCAACGUUAAUCGGGGCAGGGUGAGUCGACCCCUAAGGCGAGGCCGAAAGGCGUAGUCGAUGGGAAACAGGUUAAUAUUCCUGUACUUGGUGUUACUGCGAAGGGGGGACGGAGAAGGCUAUGUUGGCCGGGCGACGGUUGUCCCGGUUUAAGCGUGUAGGCUGGUUUUCCAGGCAAAUCCGGAAAAUCAAGGCCGAGGCGUGAUGACGAGGCACUACGGUGCUGAAGCAACAAAUGCCCUGCUUCCAGGAAAAGCCUCUAAGCAUCAGGUAACAUCAAAUCGUACCCCAAACCGACACAGGUGGUCAGGUAGAGAAUACCAAGGCGCUUGAGAGAACUCGGGUGAAGGAACUAGGCAAAAUGGUGCCGUAACUUCGGGAGAAGGCACGCUGAUACGUAGGUGAAGCGACUUGCUCGUGGAGCUGAAAUCAGUCGAAGAUACCAGCUGGCUGCAACUGUUUAUUAAAAACACAGCACUGUGCAAACACGAAAGUGGACGUAUACGGUGUGACGCCUGCCCGGUGCCGGAAGGUUAAUUGAUGGGGUUAGCGCAAGCGAAGCUCUUGAUCGAAGCCCCGGUAAACGGCGGCCGUAACUAUAACGGUCCUAAGGUAGCGAAAUUCCUUGUCGGGUAAGUUCCGACCUGCACGAAUGGCGUAAUGAUGGCCAGGCUGUCUCCACCCGAGACUCAGUGAAAUUGAACUCGCUGUGAAGAUGCAGUGUACCCGCGGCAAGACGGAAAGACCCCGUGAACCUUUACUAUAGCUUGACACUGAACAUUGAGCCUUGAUGUGUAGGAUAGGUGGGAGGCUUUGAAGUGUGGACGCCAGUCUGCAUGGAGCCGACCUUGAAAUACCACCCUUUAAUGUUU